CCCUUAGAUGUCCGGGGCCGCACGCGCGCUACACUGAAUAGCGUAACGAGUUUCUCUCCUGAUCCGCAAGGGUUGGGCAACCUGUUGAAACCUAUUCGUGACAGGGAUCGGGGCUUGUAAUUAUUCCCCGUGAACGAGGAAUUCCUAGUAAGCGCAAGUCGUAAACUUGCGUUGAUUACGUCCCUGCCUUUUGUACACACCGCCCGUCGCUACUACCGAUUGAAUGGUUUAGCAAGGUCUUCGGAUUGGCGCCUGACAGUUUCGACUGUCUUGUGUCCGAGAAGAUGAUCAAACUUGAUCAUUUAGAGGAAGUAAAAGUCGUAACA
Molecule: ribosomal RNA, 326 nt
Filed under: uncultured eukaryote
Lineage: Eukaryota
Description: partial 18S ribosomal RNA
Rfam family: Eukaryotic small subunit ribosomal RNA
Source: RNAcentral